AGAAUCAACGCUGGCGGCGUGCCUAACACAUGCAAGUCGAACGCGAAAGCCCCCGCAAGGGGCAAGUAGAGUGGCAAACGGGUGAGUAACACGUGGGUGACCUGCCUUCGAGUGGGGGAUAACGUCCCGAAAGGGACGCUAAUACCGCAUGACAUCCUGUCUUUGGACAGACGGAGAUCAAAGCUGGGAUCGCAAGACCUGGCGCUUGAAGAGGGGCCCGCGCCUGAUUAGCUAGUUGGUGAGGUAACGGCUCACCAAGGCUACGAUC
RNAcentral lists this ribosomal RNA (268 nucleotides) under uncultured soil bacterium. RNAcentral describes it as "partial 16S ribosomal RNA". It matches the Rfam family "Bacterial small subunit ribosomal RNA", at positions 26 to 281 of the family's 1533-position model. The record is from RNAcentral.